CAGUAGACUUCGAACUUCCCAAGGAACAGAGCCUGGGCAAGCUCAACUCCAGGCAGCCAAGCACGACGGCCGCCGACGUCAUCCUCAAGGACAGUGCCACCGUGCUGCUCAAAGAGUUUGAGUACGACGGCAGCUGUACCGGCUCGUUCUUCGUGGCGGCCCAAACAUCACAGGCCAAGCCGGAGGACCUGAUACACCUCGCAUACGACAACGGAAAGAGAUCCGCGCUGGAGCGCUACGAUAAGGUGGACGUGAAUGUCAAGCUUCCCGAGGGCCACCACUGGAACGAGUUCGAAUGGUUCUCGGUGUACUGCGAUCGCAAGAAGGAG
This is a long non-coding RNA of Dermacentor silvarum, 329 nucleotides long. RefSeq lists it as uncharacterized. NCBI's taxonomy places the organism in Eukaryota, Metazoa, Arthropoda, Arachnida, Ixodida, Ixodidae. The transcript has 3 exons. The record is from RefSeq and is a predicted model, not a curated record.